GAACGCUGGCGGCGUGCCUAAUACAUGCAAGUCGAACGGUCUUUCUAUGGAAGCUUGCUUCCACUGAGAGGAUAGUGGCGAACGGGUGAGGUAACACGUGGGUAACCUGCCCAUAAGAGGGGGGAUAACAUCCGGAAACGGGUGCCUAAUACCGCAUAGUUUUCUUGAUCGCAUGAUCGGGAAAGGAAAGACGGCCUUUGUGCUGUCGCUUAUGGAUGGACCCGCGGCGUAUUAGUUAGUUGGUGAGGUAACGGCUCACCAAGACGAUGAUACGUAGCCGACCUGAGAGGGUGAUCGGCCACAUUGGGACUGAGACACGGCCCAAACUCCUACGGGAGGCAGCAGUAGGGAAUCUUCCGCAAUGGACGAAAGUCUGACGGAGCGAACGCCGCGUGAGUGAAGAAAGGUUUUCGGAUCGUAAAACUCUGUUGUCAGAGAAGAACAAGUUGGAGAGUAACUGCUCCAGCCUUGACGGUAUCUGACCAGAAAGCCCACGGCUAACUACGUGCCAGCCGCAGC
This 519-nucleotide ribosomal RNA is filed under the name uncultured bacterium. RNAcentral describes it as "bacterial SSU rRNA". It matches the Rfam family "Bacterial small subunit ribosomal RNA", at positions 31 to 518 of the family's 1533-position model. The record is from RNAcentral.